UUUAUCUGUCUUUCUGGUCACAACAGAAAUUCAAGACGUUUGGGUCCUCAGCUCAACUGACUAAGACCUUUGCUCAUUGAAGGCAUGAAGUAAUUUGUGAUGCCCCCACGAUUGCAGUUUUUAAAUCCAGAUGGCUUGCUCUUUUUAACAUGUGCGAGAGCUGGAUGGUCUUUCAACAACACUGCUCCGGGUCUUCAGCAAGAAAGGUGCUUCUCAUGCAAGGAAGAUACAGAGGAUCCUGGUGCCCAUGACUCAGACUGACAACAUUGAUGUGAAGAGGGAGUGCAUGCUGAGGAGCUGACGGUCUACCUGAAUGAAGAGCCAGACAAAGUGGAUGUUGAUCUGGACGGUCCAGCUGAAACGUAUUGUCUUUGUGUGCGUGUGAUCGGCAGAGAGUCCUCAACGACAUUGGUAACGUACCUGUGGCCAUUGCAGUGUUUGUUUUGGUUUAUGCUCUUAAUCUCUGUUACCUUCCAGAAUGGAAGUACACUUUCAAAUUUCUGUUUCAUUCUAACCGUCUGUUUCAUCAGUUUUUGCACUGCUUUUAAAUGUACACUGUGUAAGAUUCUUAGUUGUUUAUUUCCAGAAUUCAUGCUACCCAUUCACUAAUGUUACCUUUUUCAUGAAUACUUAGCACCACCAUUAGGGUGCAUCAGUUGCCCCCUAUGAAAAGAUAUGGCCUUGGCCCUAUAGUAAAAAUGUUCUACACCCAGUAAAAACACACUGUGUAAAAUAUUUUGAAAUUUGGAUGAAGUCUACCGGGGC
Molecule: long non-coding RNA, 765 nt
Organism: Engraulis encrasicolus (European anchovy)
Lineage: Eukaryota; Metazoa; Chordata; Actinopteri; Clupeiformes; Engraulidae
Exons: 4
Source: RefSeq, a predicted model, not a curated record